GAAGACUGAAGCAGGACUGACUUCAGAUCAGAAGAUGGAGGAAGAGGAGGACAGAGCAGAGUCUCUAGUCUCCGGUCGUCUGUCUAUGAAGAGUGAUCGGUCCAUGUCGAUUCCUCCAGCCUUGAGUGAUGAACCUGGACCCUCAGAGUCAAAAGAGAAGAAGAGGAGUCAUGCUUCUGUGGAGGAGCUGAUGUCCAUAUUCAGAAAAAGACCUCGACUGCAGACGAGUCAGACCAGCACUGUCCAAAGUAAGACUGUAGAUGUGUCUGCUGAUGUCUUCAUGUCUGUAAACUUGUUGUUUUAAUAUCCUGACUAUUGUUGUGACAACUGUUUAAGAUCUUCUCCAUCAUACAUAUCUGCUCUGCAUCACUUGUACUUUGUUCUCCUUUGAGAGAAAAUCUGAACCCAGAAGAAAUAAUGUUAUAUUUGUAUGUUUUGUUUUUAUGAUAGCACUCCGUCUUUGCAUCAACCAAUCAGAAUGAUGUUUGUUCUCCAUCUGCAUAGAUGAAGAUGGAGAACUAUUAA
Long non-coding RNA from Sebastes umbrosus (honeycomb rockfish), 525 nucleotides. RefSeq lists it as uncharacterized. The record is from RefSeq and is a predicted model, not a curated record. The transcript has 3 exons. Lineage: Eukaryota; Metazoa; Chordata; Actinopteri; Perciformes; Sebastidae.